Aspergillus niger is the source of this 72-nucleotide transfer RNA. It matches the Rfam family "tRNA". Rfam says of the family: Transfer RNA (tRNA) molecules are approximately 80 nucleotides in length. The record is from Rfam. Lineage: Eukaryota; Fungi; Ascomycota; Eurotiomycetes; Eurotiales; Aspergillaceae.
GGAUCGGUAGCUCAGUGGUAGAGCGUAGGAUUGCAGAUCCCGAGGUCACGCGUUCGAACCGCGUUCGGUCCU